RNAcentral lists this transfer RNA (68 nucleotides) under Costapex baldwinae. RNAcentral describes it as "tRNA-Ile". The record is from RNAcentral. Lineage: Eukaryota; Metazoa; Mollusca; Gastropoda; Neogastropoda; Costellariidae.
AGUAUCACGCCGGAUGAACGGAAAUCAUUGAUGUUGAUUAAUAUGGGAUAAAGAUAUCUCUGAUGCUA